AGAGACACUCCCAUCAGCAGCUCUUCAUUUAAUCUGUGUGAGACUGUGGCUCAGUUUCUGUGCAACAAAAGAUGGAAGUCAUCAUCAUUAAACAGGUUCUCUUCACAUUGGCAGUCUUCUUGCUGUGGGAAUUGGGUCACGUUGAUGGGAGUGAUGUUACCCAGACCCCCAUACUGUGGAAAUAUCAGGGUGACAGUGCAACAAUGAGCUGCAACCAUACAAAGGGUGAUCUCUAUUUCCAGAUGUACUGGUACAGACAGCUGCCUGGAGAGACAAUGAAACUAAUUGUGUUCACAACAACGGGAAAAAAAGAUGAUGAUCAAGACUUUGGAGAGUUCAGUAAAGAAAAAUUCUCAGUCACCAAGCCAACUGCUGAUAAAGGGACAUUCACAGUAAAGAACCUGAAGCCAGAAGACAAAGGAUGGUAUUUCUGUGCUGUGAGCCAACACAGUGAUACAGACGAAGCAGAGAGCUGAACAAAAACCUC
Molecule: non-coding RNA, 487 nt
Organism: Haplochromis burtoni (Burton's mouthbrooder)
Lineage: Eukaryota; Metazoa; Chordata; Actinopteri; Cichliformes; Cichlidae
Source: the annotation of a RefSeq genome assembly